UGGGGAAUAUUGGACAAUGGGCGAAAGCCUGAUCCAGCAAUGCCGCGUGAGUGAUGAAGGCCCUAGGGUUGUAAAGCUCUUUUACCCGGGAUGAUAAUGACAGUACCGGGAGAAUAAGCUCCGGCUAACUCCGUGCCAGCAGCCGCGGUAAUACGGAGGGAGCUAGCGUUGUUCGGAAUUACUGGGCGUAAAGCGCGCGUAGGCGGCUUUUUAAGUCAGAGGUGAAAGCCCGGGGCUCAACCCCGGAAUUGCCUUUGAAACUGGGAAGCUAGAAUCUUGGAGAGGUCAGUGGAAUUCCGAGUGUAGAGGUGAAAUUCGUAGAUAUUCGGAAGAACACCAGUGGCGAAGGCGACUGACUGGACAAGUAUUGACGCUGAGACGCGAAAGCGUGGGGAGCAAACA
This 402-nucleotide ribosomal RNA is filed under the name uncultured prokaryote. RNAcentral describes it as "bacterial SSU rRNA". It matches the Rfam family "Bacterial small subunit ribosomal RNA", at positions 355 to 774 of the family's 1533-position model. The record is from RNAcentral.